Long non-coding RNA from Octopus sinensis (East Asian common octopus), 683 nucleotides. RefSeq lists it as uncharacterized. The transcript is spliced from 2 exons. NCBI's taxonomy places the organism in Eukaryota, Metazoa, Mollusca, Cephalopoda, Octopoda, Octopodidae. The record is from RefSeq and is a predicted model, not a curated record.
CAUUGCCACAUUCUGAGUUCAAAUUCCACUGAGUUCGACUUUGCUUUUUAUUAAGUACUGAGGACGAUGUAAUUGACUACCCUCCUCAUCCCAAAUUUCCUGCCUCGUGCCUAUGUUAGAAAGGAUUAAUAAAGUGAAUUGGCAGAGUCAUUAGCACACCAGCCAAAAUGCUUAGUGGUAUUUCAUCCGUCUUUAUGUCCUGAGUUCAAAUUCCACUGAGGUCGACUUUGUUCUUCAGCCUUGGAGGGAUGGAUGAUAUAGGUACCAGUUGAAUGCUGGUGUCAAUGUAAUUAACUUAGUCCUUUCCCCUGAAAUUGCUGGCCUUGUGCCAAAAUUUGAAACCAUUAUUUUCAGAGAGGAGAGCAGAAGUGUGAGGAGUAUUUUUAUUGUUUCUUUAUUUGAUAUUAUUUCCUGCCUCCCCCACCAAACACACCACUCCACCAAACACUUUUUUAUCUGUCCCUUUGUUCCCACCUUUUUUUUUUUUUUUACACCAGUUCCAGUCCUCCCUUAGAACACCAGAUAUUUCCCAGCUGAGUGGGCCUCUUUUGUGUCCCUUAAAUCCCUAUUACCAGCCAUGGGAAAAUGUGAUAAUGAUAGGGGAUUUACUUUUUUUUAAAGAACAUCACAACUAUUUGGGAAAUGCUUAAAAUGUGGGAUAAAAAUAAAUAAAUAAAUAAAUA